Molecule: ribosomal RNA, 560 nt
Filed under: Aspergillus tubingensis
Lineage: Eukaryota; Fungi; Ascomycota; Eurotiomycetes; Eurotiales; Aspergillaceae
Description: eukaryotic LSU rRNA
Rfam family: 5.8S ribosomal RNA (bases 170-323)
Source: RNAcentral
UUGGGACACCUCCCAUCCGUGUCUAUUAUACCCUGUUGCUUCGGCGGGCCCGCCGCUUGUCGGCCGCCGGGGGGGCGCCUUUGCCCCCCGGGCCCGUGCCCGCCGGAGACCCCAACACGAACACUGUCUGAAAGCGUGCAGUCUGAGUUGAUUGAAUGCAAUCAGUUAAAACUUUCAACAAUGGAUCUCUUGGUUCCGGCAUCGAUGAAGAACGCAGCGAAAUGCGAUAACUAAUGUGAAUUGCAGAAUUCAGUGAAUCAUCGAGUCUUUGAACGCACAUUGCGCCCCCUGGUAUUCCGGGGGGCAUGCCUGUCCGAGCGUCAUUGCUGCCCUCAAGCCCGGCUUGUGUGUUGGGUCGCCGUCCCCCUCUCCGGGGGGACGGGCCCGAAAGGCAGCGGCGGCACCGCGUCCGAUCCUCGAGCGUAUGGGGCUUUGUCACAUGCUCUGUAGGAUUGGCCGGCGCCUGCCGACGUUUUCCAACCAUUUUUUCCAGGUUGACCUCGGAUCAGGUAGGGAUACCCGCUGAACUUAAGCAUAUCAAUAAGCGGAGGGAAAAGAAA